UUGAACGCUGGCGGCAUGCUUUACACAUGCAAGUCGAACGGUAGAGGGCUUCGGCCCUUGAGAGUGGCGAACGGGUGAGUAAUAUAUCGGAACGUACCCUGUCGUGGGGGAUAACACAUCGAAAGAUGCGCUAAUACCGCAUACGACCUGAGGGUGAAAGCGGGGGAUCGCAAGACCUCGCGCGACAGGAGCGGCCGAUAUCGGAUUAGCUAGUUGGUGAGGUAAAGGCUCACCAAGGCGACGAUCCGUAGCUGGUCUGAGAGGACGACCAGCCACACUGGAACUGAGACACGGUCCAGACUCCUACGGGAGGCAGCAGUGGGGAAUUUUGGACAAUGGGGGCAACCCUGAUCCAGCCAUUCCGCGUGAGUGAAGAAGGCCUUCGGGUUGUAAAACUCUUUCGGCAGGAACGAAACGGUGAGCUCUAACAUAGCUUGCUAAUGACGGUACCUGAAGAAGAAGCACCGGCUAACUACGU
This 478-nucleotide ribosomal RNA is filed under the name uncultured bacterium. RNAcentral describes it as "bacterial SSU rRNA". It matches the Rfam family "Bacterial small subunit ribosomal RNA", at positions 30 to 506 of the family's 1533-position model. The record is from RNAcentral.